This 73-nucleotide transfer RNA is filed under the name Endocronartium harknessii PhW48OC. RNAcentral's name for it is "tRNA-Ala (CGC) (tRNA-Ala-CGC-1-1)". It matches the Rfam family "tRNA". Rfam says of the family: Transfer RNA (tRNA) molecules are approximately 80 nucleotides in length. RNAcentral also lists the same sequence under 3 other names. Lineage: Eukaryota; Fungi; Basidiomycota; Pucciniomycetes; Pucciniales; Coleosporiaceae. The record is from RNAcentral.
GGGGUGUUAGCUCAUUUGGUAGAGCGUUCGCUUCGCAUGCGAAAGGUCCGGGGUUCGACUCCCCGAUACUCCA